Molecule: ribosomal RNA, 492 nt
Filed under: uncultured bacterium
Lineage: Bacteria
Description: partial 16S ribosomal RNA
Rfam family: Bacterial small subunit ribosomal RNA
Source: RNAcentral
AGUGAACGCUGGCGGUAGGCCUAACACAUGCAAGUCGAACGGCAGCACAGUAAGAGCUUGCUCUUACGGGUGGCGAGUGGCGGACGGGUGAGUAAUACAUCGGAAUCUACUUUUUCGUGGGGGAUAACGUAGGGAAACUUACGCUAAUACCGCAUACGACCUACGGGUGAAAGCAGGGGAUCUUCGGACCUUGCGCGAUUGAAUGAGCCGAUGUCGGAUUAGCUAGUUGGCGGGGUAAAGGCCCACCAAGGCGACGAUCCGUAGCUGGGCUGAGAGGAUGAUCAGCCACACUAGAACUGAGACACGGUCCAGACUCCUACGGGAGGGAGCAGUGGGGAAUAUUGGACAAUGGGCGCAAGCCUGAUCCAGCCAUACCGCGUGGGUGAAGAAGGCGUUCGGGUUGUAAAGCCCUUUUGUUGGGAAAGAAAAGCAGCAGGUUAAUACCCCGCUGUUCUGACGGUACCCAAAGAAUAAGCACCGGCUAACUUCGUG